This is a long non-coding RNA of Polypterus senegalus (gray bichir), 1282 nucleotides long. RefSeq lists it as uncharacterized. The record is from RefSeq and is a predicted model, not a curated record. The transcript has 3 exons. Lineage: Eukaryota; Metazoa; Chordata; Cladistia; Polypteriformes; Polypteridae.
UGCAGCCAGGAUACCACAAUAUACGGGUGGCUGCCCCAACUCUUUAUCUGUCCAUGUCUCGUUCUUGUGACAACAGCUAAUGUGUAAAAAUAAUAUAAGGAGGAGCCUAGAAAAUUUUAAACAUAAAGAACAGAUUAGGGUCCUUAAGUACAGCUGGCAUUUAUACUUUAAUUUGUUUAGAGGUUUGUUCCAUCCAUCCAUAAUCCAACCCGCUAUAUCCUAACUGCAGGGUCACGGGGGUCUGCUGGAGCCAAUCCCAGCCAGCACAGGGCGCAAGGCAGGAAACAAACCUCAGGCAGGGCGCCAGCUUACCACAAUUUAGAUGUUUGUUUAAGAUCAAAUAGUAAUGUUUUAAAUUUGCAUCUAAUUACAUAAUUAUAAUGAAUUACAAAGACAAAUAACAUUAGUAACUGAGAAUGUGGACAACUAAAAUCCCUUUAUUCUCUUAUAUUCUUGCAUAUAGUUUCAUUAAAGUGGAGGUACAUGGUGAACUACUGUCUCAAGAGUGCAAGCGGGGCAUGUGUGUGAGUAGACCCUGCAAUGAACUGGCAUCCUUUCCUGGUCUUUUCUGGUGAUUAUUUUAAUUUUCAAUACGGAGUUGCUCCACCGGAAUUACAUAUGUGUUUGUUCAUUUAUUUUUACCUUGGAUGGAUCUAACACCACCACUGGACUUUUUAUUGCUGCUGGAGAAACAUUUGCCUCAAUCUUAAAUGUAGGAGUGUGCAAAAAUGGGAUGUUGGACUGUUUUUUUAAUAUGCAACUACAAGAAAAUUACUGGAAAGUGACAAGUGUCACGGUGGUUUAUUAUGGUGGUAGUGGCUGGUCACAGUGGUAUACCGUGUUACUAAAACCUCCUAAACAAAGUGUGCUUCUCUACUGUUGAAGUAUGGGGUUUAAUUUAAAUAACUGAAGAAGAUGCCAAUUUGUAUCAUAAAAUGUACUCUGUGAUUUUCUAUGAAUUAUUUUUUAAUAAAAUAUUCUUUUUUAAUUUGUUUUUAAAAACAUUUCUUAUGGUUUCCUCUUUUGUUAGCUGAUCUGUAUUGCAACAGUUGGUAUGUUAUACUUUUUAAGAAUUUGACACAAACCAACUCCUUUUUUCAUGAAAAAGUAGCACAUUUCAUUUGAAAAAUAUUCCAAGCUCUAUAGACAACUUGAUGGCAACAGUGGAUUUUCUGUAUGUUCUAUUAAGGAAACUCUUGUGUAUCGUAUUGUUUAUUAUAUAGAGAUGAUUUCUGUAUCUGUGGGUAAAAAAAAUUGAGAAAAUUAGAAUGAUCUAUCUAUC